RNAcentral lists this ribosomal RNA (2923 nucleotides) under Klebsiella pneumoniae. Its description in RNAcentral is "bacterial LSU rRNA". It matches the Rfam family "Bacterial large subunit ribosomal RNA". The record is from RNAcentral. Lineage: Bacteria; Pseudomonadati; Pseudomonadota; Gammaproteobacteria; Enterobacterales; Enterobacteriaceae.
GGGUUGUGAGGUUAAGCGACUAAGCGUACACGGUGGAUGCCCUGGCAGUCAGAGGCGAUGAAGGACGUGCUAAUCUGCGAAAAGCGUCGGUAAGGUGAUAUGAACCGUUAUAGCCGGCGAUGUCCGAAUGGGGAAACCCAGUGCAAUUCGUUGCACUAUCGUUAACUGAAUACAUAGGUUAACGAGGCGAACCGGGGGAACUGAAACAUCUAAGUACCCCGAGGAAAAGAAAUCAACCGAGAUUCCCCCAGUAGCGGCGAGCGAACGGGGAGCAGCCCAGAGUCUGAAUCAGCUUGUGUGUUAGUGGAACGGUCUGGAAAGUCCGACGGUACAGGGUGAUAGUCCCGUACACCAAAAUGCACAGGUUGUGAACUCGAAGAGUAGGGCGGGACACGUGGUAUCCUGUCUGAAUAUGGGGGGACCAUCCUCCAAGGCUAAAUACUCCUGACUGACCGAUAGUGAACCAGUACCGUGAGGGAAAGGCGAAAAGAACCCCGGCGAGGGGAGUGAAAAAGAACCUGAAACCGUGUACGUACAAGCAGUGGGAGCACCUUCGGGUGUGACUGCGUACCUUUUGUAUAAUGGGUCAGCGACUUAUAUUCUGUAGCAAGGUUAACCGUAUAGGGGAGCCGCAGGGAAACCGAGUCUUAACUGGGCGUUAAGUUGCAGGGUAUAGACCCGAAACCCGGUGAUCUAGCCAUGGGCAGGUUGAAGGUUGGGUAACACUAACUGGAGGACCGAACCGACUAAUGUUGAAAAAUUAGCGGAUGACUUGUGGCUGGGGGUGAAAGGCCAAUCAAACCGGGAGAUAGCUGGUUCUCCCCGAAAGCUAUUUAGGUAGCGCCUCGUGAAUUCAUCUUCGGGGGUAGAGCACUGUUUCGGCUAGGGGGUCAUCCCGACUUACCAACCCGAUGCAAACUACGAAUACCGAAGAAUGUUAUCACGGGAGACACACGGCGGGUGCUAACGUCCGUCGUGAAGAGGGAAACAACCCAGACCGCCAGCUAAGGUCCCAAAGUCAUGGUUAAGUGGGAAACGAUGUGGGAAGGCACAGACAGCCAGGAUGUUGGCUUAGAAGCAGCCAUCAUUUAAAGAAAGCGUAAUAGCUCACUGGUCGAGUCGGCCUGCGCGGAAGAUGUAACGGGGCUAAACCAUGCACCGAAGCUGCGGCAGCGACACUAUGUGUUGUUGGGUAGGGGAGCGUUCUGUAAGCCUGCGAAGGUGACCUGUGAGGGUUGCUGGAGGUAUCAGAAGUGCGAAUGCUGACAUAAGUAACGAUAAAGCGGGUGAAAAGCCCGCUCGCCGGAAGACCAAGGGUUCCUGUCCAACGUUAAUCGGGGCAGGGUGAGUCGACCCCUAAGGCGAGGCCGAAAGGCGUAGUCGAUGGGAAACAGGUUAAUAUUCCUGUACUUGGUGUUACUGCGAAGGGGGGACGGAGAAGGCUAUGUUAGCCGGGCGACGGUUGUCCCGGUUUAAGCAUGUAGGCUGGUUGUCCAGGCAAAUCCGGAUAAUCAAGGCUGAGGUGUGAUGACGAGGCACUACGGUGCUGAAGUAACAAAUGCCCUGCUUCCAGGAAAAGCCUCUAAGCAUCAGGUAACAUCAAAUCGUACCCCAAACCGACACAGGUGGUCAGGUAGAGAAUACCAAGGCGCUUGAGAGAACUCGGGUGAAGGAACUAGGCAAAAUGGUGCCGUAACUUCGGGAGAAGGCACGCUGGUGUGUAGGUGAAGCCCCUGCGGGUGGAGCUGAGACCAGUCGAAGAUACCAGCUGGCUGCAACUGUUUAUUAAAAACACAGCACUGUGCAAACACGAAAGUGGACGUAUACGGUGUGACGCCUGCCCGGUGCCGGAAGGUUAAUUGAUGGGGUUAUCCGUAAGGAGAAGCUCUUGAUCGAAGCCCCGGUAAACGGCGGCCGUAACUAUAACGGUCCUAAGGUAGCGAAAUUCCUUGUCGGGUAAGUUCCGACCUGCACGAAUGGCGUAAUGAUGGCCAGGCUGUCUCCACCCGAGACUCAGUGAAAUUGAACUCGCUGUGAAGAUGCAGUGUACCCGCGGCAAGACGGAAAGACCCCGUGAACCUUUACUAUAGCUUGACACUGAACAUUGAGCCUUGAUGUGUAGGAUAGGUGGGAGGCUUUGAAGCGUGGACGCCAGUCUGCGUGGAGCCAACCUUGAAAUACCACCCUUUAAUGUUUGAUGUUCUAACGUUGGCCCCUUAUCGGGGUUGCGGACAGUGUCUGGUGGGUAGUUUGACUGGGGCGGUCUCCUCCCAAAGCGUAACGGAGGAGCACGAAGGUUAGCUAAUCCUGGUCGGACAUCAGGAGGUUAGUGCAAUGGCAUAAGCUAGCUUGACUGCGAGCGUGACGGCGCGAGCAGGUGCGAAAGCAGGUCAUAGUGAUCCGGUGGUUCUGAAUGGAAGGGCCAUCGCUCAACGGAUAAAAGGUACUCCGGGGAUAACAGGCUGAUACCGCCCAAGAGUUCAUAUCGACGGCGGUGUUUGGCACCUCGAUGUCGGCUCAUCACAUCCUGGGGCUGAAGUAGGUCCCAAGGGUAUGGCUGUUCGCCAUUUAAAGUGGUACGCGAGCUGGGUUUAGAACGUCGUGAGACAGUUCGGUCCCUAUCUGCCGUGGGCGCUGGAGAAUUGAGGGGGGCUGCUCCUAGUACGAGAGGACCGGAGUGGACGCAUCACUGGUGUUCGGGUUGUCAUGCCAAUGGCACUGCCCGGUAGCUAAAUGCGGAAGAGAUAAGUGCUGAAAGCAUCUAAGCACGAAACUUGCCCCGAGAUGAGUUCUCCCUGAGACUUUAAGUCUCCUGAAGGAACGUUGAAGACGACGACGUUGAUAGGCCGGGUGUGUAAGCGCAGCGAUGCGUUGAGCUAACCGGUACUAAUGAACCGUGAGGCUUAACCUUACAACGCCGAAG